CGCGUAGGCGGUCUAUUAAGUCUGAUGUGAAAGGUACCGGCUCAACCGGUGAAGUGCAUUGGAAACUGGUAGACUUGAGUAUUGGAGAGGCAAGUGGAAUUCCUAGUGUAGCGGUGAAAUGCGUAGAUAUUGGGAGGAACACCAGUGGCGAAGGCGGCUUGCUGGACAAAUACUGACGCUGAGGUGCGAAAGCGUGGGGAGCGAACA
This 207-nucleotide ribosomal RNA is filed under the name uncultured bacterium. Its description in RNAcentral is "partial 16S ribosomal RNA". It matches the Rfam family "Bacterial small subunit ribosomal RNA", at positions 568 to 774 of the family's 1533-position model. The record is from RNAcentral.